RNAcentral lists this ribosomal RNA (253 nucleotides) under uncultured bacterium. RNAcentral describes it as "partial 16S ribosomal RNA". It matches the Rfam family "Bacterial small subunit ribosomal RNA", at positions 524 to 776 of the family's 1533-position model. The record is from RNAcentral.
UACGGGGGGGGCAAGCGUUGUUCGGAAUUACUGGGCGUCAAGGGCUCGUAGGCGGCCAACUAAGUCAGACGUGAAAUCCCUCGGCUUAACCGGGGAACUGCGUCUGAUACUGGAUGGCUUGAGUUUGGGAGAGGGAUGCGGAAUUCCAGGUGUAGCGGUGAAAUGCGUAGAUAUCUGGAGGAACACCGGUGGCGAAGGCGGCAUCCUGGACCACAACUGACGCUGAGGAGCGAAAGCCAGGGGAGCAAACGGG